UUGUAGCUUUUUGCAUUGUAUGUAUUUGCUUUUCGUUUAAAACGUGCUGCGAAAAUCAACAGUAAAUCAUUGAUGUGAGAAACGUGUAAGCGGCAACAAGUUCAAGUAACGCGAAGCUAAAUUAUCAGCUACAAAGGCAACAAUUAUCUAUGUGUAUAUCCGUAACGAAACGAUUAAUCGGUAAAACGUGAAUAAAACAAAAAGGAGAAAAAAACUCCAACUCACCCUAAAGAAAUCGGGAAUUCUUCGAGUAAAGAAUUUAAUUUGCAUAAAUUAAUGACGAUGACGUUGAAAAACUGAUAUUGAUUGUAUAAGUAUUAGUAUAAAUAUACAAUACAAAUAUAAAUUUAUAAAUGCAUAGAUGUGUAUGUGUUUGGUAUGAAAACAAUUUUAAGUUUUAUGAAAGUGAAAUGCGCUGAUGAAAUCGACGGAAAAUCCAUGGUCAAGCAUAACGCGUUUAACAAAUUUAUAUAUGUAUAUACUCGUACAUACAGUUACUGCGUUUUAAAUUAAAUUAUAUUAAAAA
Long non-coding RNA from Ceratitis capitata (Mediterranean fruit fly), 526 nucleotides. RefSeq lists it as uncharacterized. The transcript is spliced from 2 exons. Lineage: Eukaryota; Metazoa; Arthropoda; Insecta; Diptera; Tephritidae. The record is from RefSeq and is a predicted model, not a curated record.